Molecule: ribosomal RNA, 654 nt
Filed under: Bacillus sp. 13558
Lineage: Bacteria; Bacillati; Bacillota; Bacilli; Caryophanales; Bacillaceae
Description: bacterial SSU rRNA
Rfam family: Bacterial small subunit ribosomal RNA
Source: RNAcentral
GUCGAGCGAAUGGAUUAAGAGCUUGCUCUUAUGAAGUUAGCGGCGGACGGGUGAGUAACACGUGGGUAACCUGCCCAUAAGACUGGGAUAACUCCGGGAAACCGGGGCUAAUACCGGAUAACAUUUUGCACCGCAUGGUGCGAAAUUGAAAGGCGGCUUCGGCUGUCACUUAUGGAUGGACCCGCGUCGCAUUAGCUAGUUGGUGAGGUAACGGCUCACCAAGGCAACGAUGCGUAGCCGACCUGAGAGGGUGAUCGGCCACACUGGGACUGAGACACGGCCCAGACUCCUACGGGAGGCAGCAGUAGGGAAUCUUCCGCAAUGGACGAAAGUCUGACGGAGCAACGCCGCGUGAGUGAUGAAGGCUUUCGGGUCGUAAAACUCUGUUGUUAGGGAAGAACAAGUGCUAGUUGAAUAAGCUGGCACCUUGACGGUACCUAACCAGAAAGCCACGGCUAACUACGUGCCAGCAGCCGCGGUAAUACGUAGGUGGCAAGCGUUAUCCGGAAUUAUUGGGCGUAAAGCGCGCGCAGGUGGUUUCUUAAGUCUGAUGUGAAAGCCCACGGCUCAACCGUGGAGGGUCAUUGGAAACUGGGAGACUUGAGUGCAGAAGAGGAAAGUGGAAUUCCAUGUGUAGCGGUGAAAUGCGUAGAG